RNAcentral lists this transfer RNA (76 nucleotides) under Marinobacter adhaerens. RNAcentral's name for it is "tRNA-Met". It matches the Rfam family "tRNA". From Rfam's summary of the family: Transfer RNA (tRNA) molecules are approximately 80 nucleotides in length. Their secondary structure includes four short double-helical elements and three loops (D, anti-codon, and T loops). Lineage: Bacteria; Pseudomonadati; Pseudomonadota; Gammaproteobacteria; Pseudomonadales; Marinobacteraceae. The record is from RNAcentral.
GCGGGGUGGAGCAGUCUGGUAGCUCGUCGGGCUCAUAACCCGAAGGUCGUUGGUUCGAAUCCAGCCCCCGCUACCA